CCAAUAGCGUAUAUUAAAGUUGUUGCAGUUAAAAAGCUCGUAGUUGAAUUUCGAGAUCAAAUUGUUGGUCGUGCCUUGGUACGCACUGGCAUUAUUGGUUUCUCCCUUCUGAAGAACCAUGAUGUCAUUAAUUUGGUGUCUUGGGGAAUCAGGACUGUUACUUUGAAAAAAUUAGAGUGUUUAAAGCAGGCUCGCGCUUGAAUACAUUAGCAUGGAAUAAUGAAAUAGGACGUUUGAUUCUAUUUUGUUGGUUUCUAGGAUCGACGUAAUGAUUAAUAGGGAUAGUUGGGGGCAUUAGUAUUCAAUUGUCAGAGGUGAAAUUCUUGGAUUUAUUGAAGACUAACUACUGCGAAAGCAUUUGCCAAGGAUGUUUUCAUUAAUCAAGAACGAAAGUUAGGGGAUCGAAGACGAUCAGAUACCGUCGUAGUCUUAACCAUAAACUAUGCCGACUAGGGAUCGGAUGAUGUUAAUUUUUUAAUGACUCAUUCGGCGCCUUACGGGAAACCAAAGUGUUGGUUC
Molecule: unclassified non-coding RNA, 519 nt
Filed under: uncultured Glomeromycotina
Lineage: Eukaryota; Fungi; Glomeromycota
Description: SSU rRNA
Rfam family: Eukaryotic small subunit ribosomal RNA
Source: RNAcentral